GACGAACGCUGGCGGCGUGCUUAACACAUGCAAGUCGAACGGAAAGACCCUGCUUUUGUGGGGUGCUCGAGUGGCGAACGGGUGAGUAACACGUGAGUAACCUGCCCUUGACUUUGGGAUAACUUCAGGAAACUGGGGCUAAUACCGGAUAGGAGCUCCUGCUGCAUGGUGGGGGUUGGAAAGUUUCGGCGGUUGGGGAUGGACUCGCGGCUUAUCAGCUUGUUGGUGGGGUAGUGGCUUACCAUGGCUUUGCCGGGAAGACGGCCUGAGAGGGUGACCGGCCACAUUGGGACUGAGAUACGGCCCAGACUCCUACGGGAGGCAGCAGUGGGGAAGAUUGCACAAUGGGCGGAAGCCUGAUGCAGCAACGCCGCGUGCGGGAUGACGGCCUUCGGGUUGUAAACCGCUUUCGCCUGUGACGAAGCGUGAGUGACGGUAAUGGGUAAAGAAGCACCGGCUAACUACGUG
Molecule: ribosomal RNA, 468 nt
Filed under: uncultured bacterium
Lineage: Bacteria
Description: partial 16S ribosomal RNA
Rfam family: Bacterial small subunit ribosomal RNA
Source: RNAcentral